CACAACCUCAUUGGCAGGAUAUCCUGCCACUCAAGCUGAGCACCUGGCUGUAUCUCUCUUGUCAAGUCCCUCCCCCCAUGUCAUACAGAGAAACGAUCCAAAGUGAAGAAGCCGAAGUUUGAGUUCCCUGUUUAUGAGCCUUCCCUCACGGUCGCAGACAGGGAAUGUCCAUCGAGGAUAUCGAAGACCAGAUGGAUGACUGGCUCGAGGAUAAGACGUCUCAGAAGAAGAAGGCACCGGAGAGGACAUCACUCUUCUGACAAGGAGUAGGGCCAAGUUCCCUGGGGGGGAACACCUGGACGCUGGGAGAAGAUCGCCCACGAACUAGGAAGAUUGGGUGACCAAUGAGGAGUGUAUGAUCCGUUUGGCUGAGCUGGUGCUGAAAAGGAAGCAGGCCAAGAGCUGACUCCCCCAUGGACCGCCAUCUUGAAUUAUUUUAUUUUUUAAAAUCCCCCACAAUGCAACAUUGCAGGGUGUGUCAAAACGUUUGACCGACCCCAGUUUAAGUCGUGUGUACACAGUUUAUUGCCUAAUCUAGCCCCUUUUCCUGGCUACUAUCACCUUCAAUGUGAUCUAAAAGGCCUGGAUAGAUGAAGGCAAUAUAUAAUGAAAAAUCCACAUACCAUAUGGUUGGGCCAUAUUGCUUCCACCUGUCCAGUUCUGUUAGAUCUUAACAGGAGAGGACCUGGGAGAAGGGACUAGCUCCACCCAAAGCAUGCCAUCCUGCCUCCUCUGGACUGUCACGUGAGGAGUGUUCAGUGCACCAACAAAGAAAUGUCUGUUUUUUGUACCUCAAAUAUGUUUUGACUUCUUUUUUGCUAUGUCAUUUUAAAUCACACAUGUACUGAAUAUAACUUGUUUGAGAUAAGGAAAUUGUUUUAUUUAUUUACAUGGAUGAGACCCAUUUAGUACAUUGAUGCACUGUUUGAAAUUUCAAUUUGA
Long non-coding RNA from Coregonus clupeaformis (lake whitefish), 942 nucleotides. RefSeq lists it as uncharacterized. NCBI's taxonomy places the organism in Eukaryota, Metazoa, Chordata, Actinopteri, Salmoniformes, Salmonidae. The record is from RefSeq and is a predicted model, not a curated record. The transcript is spliced from 4 exons.